UCAGUACUGGAUAUCUAUGCCCAGGACCAUGCUGCCAAUGACAGAAGAGCCUCAGUCAACCUAGGUCUUUAAAUGUCUUCAUGGAGCAGAUGUCCUACCUUCCCUGCUAUCACUCUGGUCACCCUCCAGACUUUAUGUAGGCUUUACUGUUUGACUUUGGGAAGGAGUUCUCCACUGCUUGAUAUCAUAGAAGUAGACUGGUCUGAAGGACAGAAGACAUGAGUUUGAAAACUAACCAAGAUCUCUGGAUGGCUCAAGGUCUAAGACAAGAUGUUGUCACAAGAUGUCAUCACAAGAAAUGAAAAUAGUAAAUCUGGAUAUAUGCAGUGAAAAUACGGGACUAAAAACAUGUUGGUGAUGUCAUUUAGCUAAGUCAGUGUCAACAAGUGAAGACAGGAACCCAGGACUUUGGAAAAUCUGUUUGUGUCUGAGGACGCUCUGCAAACCUUCCCUUCAAUACAUAUGGGGAU
Molecule: long non-coding RNA, 470 nt
Organism: Hyaena hyaena (striped hyena)
Lineage: Eukaryota; Metazoa; Chordata; Mammalia; Carnivora; Hyaenidae
Exons: 4
Source: RefSeq, a predicted model, not a curated record